AAAAAACCAUCUACUUCAUAUUUAUCUUUUUAAAUCAAAGAUGAUUUUUGUCUUGAUAUGUUGCUACAGCCCAAAGUAAUUCAUUUCCUUCCCACGCUGAAUUAUGUGUGAUCUGUUGAGAACAAAUGAAUAACAUUUCAAUCUGCGGGGUGGGGGUAGAGGUACUUGGUAUCUUAUCAGGAAUUCCUUUCUCACUGUAACACACAAACUCAUUAUCAUCCGGGACCUUAAAGUGAUUAACUUUGGGCAAAGAGUGGAAUUUCCCAUUUGCUAAUGAAAAUACUAAUGAGUUAUUUCUAAGGCGUUAAAUUGGUACACAUUUUCCCCCUUAAAUAGCAUUGGGUUGGGGGUACAUACAUGAGUGGACAGAAGUAAAGAAAAAUCUUCGUCUUGGAUCAGUCACAAUAGCAUAAUGAGAACUUACACAGAGCUGUGAAGUGAAAAAAAAAAAAAAGUUUCCCUUAUGCUGAAGAAUUUAAUGGAAAAACGAAAUCCUCUCAGGAAAUGGAUUUCUCACUCUGACAUUCCUCAUCAGCUGCUGAGUCUGAGACAGGCACUUAAGCCAAAGGUUCAAGUCCCAAUGACCACCCCUUCCUCACACCCCACAGCCUGUACUGGAAGCUCUAUUUAGGAGCCACUCAAAGACCUCACCUCGAGUACCCAGGGCUGAAGGCCCUGUAGAACCUGUUCCUUCUGUGCUCUCUGCACUGCCACACGCCCUGUCACUCAGGCCAAAACACUGGUCCCUCCAGAUUCGUCCCUCCCUUUUCCUCACCACCAAGCCAGUCACACACUGCACCCCAAAGGAGUGGCCUCCACAGAUUCUCCCAGACGGCUCCAGACUACCAUUCUUCUCACUAAACAGCACUGCCUCAGGUCCUCAUCAGUUCCCACCCUGACUUUUGCAGAGGUCUUGCCACAGGUCUCUCCAGACUGUCUCCCUCAAAUCCCUUCUUCCUUAGUUCCCCUUCCCAUCCCAAAUGCAAACCCAACCAUGGCUCUCUUACUCAAUAAAACUGCCCAGUCUCUUGCUGUCAGAUGCUGUUGGCUGUGUCUCCCUUCAAUCUUUGGGCAUGGCCAUCACUGCCGCCCACAGCCUGCAGCCCAUGCCCCUCUCCAGCCUCAUCGCUCUCCACUGCUUCCUCACAACAGAUGCUCC
This 1159-nucleotide long non-coding RNA is filed under the name Marmota monax (woodchuck). The record is from RNAcentral. Lineage: Eukaryota; Metazoa; Chordata; Mammalia; Rodentia; Sciuridae.